This is a long non-coding RNA of Cynoglossus semilaevis (tongue sole), 849 nucleotides long. RefSeq lists it as uncharacterized. Lineage: Eukaryota; Metazoa; Chordata; Actinopteri; Pleuronectiformes; Cynoglossidae. The record is from RefSeq and is a predicted model, not a curated record. The transcript is spliced from 4 exons.
AGUCCAGCCCUCAACAGCCAAUCAGGAGCUACGCAGGUCCCGUCCAGCUUGUCAGUGAGGAAGUGCAGUGCAAACGCGCUGUUUAUUUUGCCCUCUCUAAGCAGCAGGAAGGAAAGAAGCUACUUGCAAAAAGGACGGGAAAAUGAGAAAAAUGUCGUAAAGAUGGCUAAUUAUCCUCCAUUUUGUGAGCCGCUACAAACCCCAACAUCGCGUGCAUAGCUUGAAACGCCGAAAAACGGUCAGGUUUCUGAGAGGACGGGAAAAGGACCAGGACAAGAUCCCCGUCGUAUUUGAUGGCAAGCCAUUAACCCUGAAGGAAAAGACACAGCCAAGGAGAUACAGAUAUCAAAAGGGCUUGGUGACUCCCAGUGUUUUCUAUCCUGUGGUAAAUGGGUCCAAAUGGCGGUUAGAUUGUUAAAGGUUGCCGACCCCUAGUGUUGGCUAUGUAAAGACACAGUUGAAAAAGGCUUUUAAAUGAUCACUUAGCAUCACCUGCUGGCAAGUGAAAGGCAUAACAUGCCUAAAUCUAUCUGUCUGUCUGUCUGUCUAUCACAUACUGUAUAAACACCGUAUAUAAAUAUUAUUUUAAUCUAAUCGAAAAAUUUAAUUAAUUGAUAGCCCUUAUAUAUCAAUAAUAAUCACAUAUUAAUAAUCAAUUGCAUUUUAAUGAGAGUAAUCACAUUGGAACUGGGAAUUAAUCAACCAGUCAUAUAUUGUCAUGAUUAAUUAUGAAUAAUUAGGGUAAAUUGUCACUAUAUUUUGCUGGAAUAAAAAGAGGAGUAACAGCAGCUGUUGUACAUGUGUUUUUCACACAUGUUUUUAUUUAGCAAAAUGUGGAAAUUCUCCAAA